UACGGAGGAUGCGAGCGUUAUCCGGAUUUAUUGGGUUUAAAGGGUGCGUAGGCGGGCUUUUAAGUCAGCGGUAAAAAUUCGGGGCUCAACCCCGUCCGGCCGUUGAAACUGGGGGCCUUGAGUGGGCGAGAAGAAGGCGGAAUGCGUGGUGUAGCGGUAAAAUGCAUAGAUAUCACGCAGAACCCCGAUUGCGAAGGCAGCCUUCCGGCGCCCUACUGACGCUGAGGCACGAAAGUGCGGGGAUCGAACAGG
Molecule: ribosomal RNA, 252 nt
Filed under: uncultured bacterium
Lineage: Bacteria
Description: partial 16S ribosomal RNA
Rfam family: Bacterial small subunit ribosomal RNA
Source: RNAcentral